This is a small nucleolar RNA of Magnolia sinica, 107 nucleotides long. The record is from RefSeq and is a predicted model, not a curated record. Lineage: Eukaryota; Viridiplantae; Streptophyta; Magnoliopsida; Magnoliales; Magnoliaceae.
UAGCCAUGAUGUGGGCAAGCACUUAGGAGGUCCUUGAGCCUUUCCUAAGAUUGGAAGAAAGUUUCUUCCUCUUUCUGUGAGAAAUUCAUAAUAGCCCUUCUAAGGGU